CUGCCCUCAAGCACGGCUUGUGUGUUGGGUGCGGUCCCCCCGGGGGCCUGCCCGAAAGGCAGCGGCGACGUCCGUCUGGUCCUCGAGCGUAUGGGGCUUUGUCACUCGCUCGGGAAGGACCUGCGGAGGUUGGUCACCACCAUAUUUUACCAC
This 153-nucleotide unclassified non-coding RNA is filed under the name uncultured Talaromyces. RNAcentral describes it as "sequence contains ITS2". Lineage: Eukaryota; Fungi; Ascomycota; Eurotiomycetes; Eurotiales; Trichocomaceae. The record is from RNAcentral.